This 274-nucleotide ribosomal RNA is filed under the name uncultured bacterium. RNAcentral's name for it is "partial 16S ribosomal RNA". It matches the Rfam family "Bacterial small subunit ribosomal RNA", at positions 77 to 353 of the family's 1533-position model. The record is from RNAcentral.
CAAACUGGAGAUGGCGACCGGCGCACGGGUGAGUAACACGUAUCCAACCUGCCGAUAACUCGGGGAUAGCCUUUCGAAAGAAAGAUUAAUACCCGAUGGCAUAAUAGAACCGCAUGGUUUGAUUAUUAAAGAAUUUCGGUUAUCGAUGGGGAUGCGUUCCAUUAGGCAGUUGGUGGGGUAAUCGCCCACAACCUUCGAUGGAUAGGGGUUCUGAGAGGAAGGUCCCCCACAUUGGAACUGAGACACGGUCCAAACUCCUACGGGAGGCAGCAUG